This 424-nucleotide ribosomal RNA is filed under the name uncultured bacterium. RNAcentral's name for it is "bacterial SSU rRNA". It matches the Rfam family "Bacterial small subunit ribosomal RNA", at positions 355 to 776 of the family's 1533-position model. RNAcentral also lists the same sequence under 2 other names. The record is from RNAcentral.
UGAGGAAUAUUGGUCAAUGGACGAGAGUCUGAACCAGCCAAGUCGCGUGCAGGAAGAAUGUCCUAUGGAUUGUAAACUGCUUUUGCAGGGGAAUAAAGUGCAUCACGUGUGAUGUUUUGUAUGUACUCUGCGAAUAAGGAUCGGCUAACUCCGUGCCAGCAGCCGCGGUAAUACGGAGGAUCCGAGCGUUAUCCGGAUUUAUUGGGUUUAAAGGGUGCGUAGGCGGGAUAAUAAGUCAGUGGUGAAAGUUUGCAGCUUAACUGUAAAAUUGCCGUUGAAACUGUUAUUCUUGAGAGUAGAUAAGGUAGGCGGAAUGUGUUGUGUAGCGGUGAAAUGCAUAGAUAUAACACAGAACCCCGAUUGCGAAGGCAGCUUACCGGGCUACAUCUGACGCUGAUGCACGAAAGCGUGGGGAUCAAACAGG